CUUGACCAUUUAAUCAACCAUUCAUCAUCAAAUACUUACACAUCAUUCUAUAGUAAAAUCAUAUUUACAAAUAUACAAAAUUACUAAAUUCCUAUACAUGCCAUAACUAAAAGAAAUGUUCACCACCACAAUUAGCUCAGAAUCGGCUUUGGAUGCUGAUUCAACAAUCCGACUUUGACCUAACCUGCGCACGGAAACAACCGUACGCUGAGUAUGGAAAUACUCAGUGGUAUUACCAUAAUUCGAAUUAAUAACAUUAAUCGAUAAAUUAUAUACAUUUUAUUUAUGUCUACAAUUAUUCAUUAAUUAUCUCAUGCAUUAAUUCAACUUGAUAAUUAAUAACAAUAAGCUAUAAUUCAAAUCUUGUAUUUAAUUGUAUUCAUACCUUAUUUCACUAUCUCAAUUCCAUUGGAUUUUUCUUUACAUCUCAUUCCAAUAGUUCAUUUCAAUUCAUAUACAAUUCAUUUCAUUUAAUUUAUAUUCAAUAUAAAUUUUAUUACAAUUUGUACUCACUAAUAUCAUAUAACAAAAUUUACUCUUUAUCACAUCAUGAACUUUGGGCUCAUAUCUUUAAAUCUCUUAUUUCGAUUUCCAAUUCACACAUCAAUUCACAACUUCACUUGUUUUCACACUUUAUUUCUUAACAAUAUACCAUUUUAAUUCAUUUUAACAUCAAUCAUCAUCCAUUUGAACUUCACUCAUUUCAUGAACCUUUUGGUUCAUGUUUUCAAUCUCAUAUCUCAAUUUAAUAUCUCAUUUAUUCAAUUCAUAUUUUAAUUCAUUCAAUUAAAUAUUGGUAUUCUCCUUAUUUUUAUUUACUAAACAUAUUAUUCAAAAUUCAACAAUUACUAUCAAUAAAUUCAAUAUCAAUACGUAUAUAUAUAUUUCAUUCGAUUCAAUCAUGAUACUCACCUCAAUUUUCUUAUCAUGUAUAUUAAUUUAAAUUUUAACAAUUAAUAAUUAAAUUCGAAUUAUAGUAAUACUAACCGUAAUUUCUCUCGAGUCACUCCUUGUCCACUUUCUCCUUUCCUUUCUCGGACAAUGACUCGUACACGACAUUAGCUACGUAAUUAAAUAAUUAAAAAUCAUUAAUACACAAUUUCAUUAAAAUAUUUCCUUUUAUACCUAAACUUUAUAAUUAUCCCUUACCAAUACUAAUUUUAUUUUUCCCAAUCUAACUCUAUAUUCUCUCUUAAUUCUUACUAUAAAGUCAAUUUAAUUCCUCAAUUUCACCAUAAAUCCCUAAUUUCGGGAUUCUUUCAAUUUAAUCCCUAUCGAUUCAAAACUUAUAUUUUAUUUUACAAUUCAAUCCUUUAUUCAAUUCCAAUCAAAAUUUCUAUCAAAUACAUCCCUAAUUUAACAAUUUAUUCAACAUGAACCAUGCUUAAUAAUCUACUAACUUUCAAAAUUUCAACUUAAAUCAAGUAGUAUUUUAUUCUAGGAUUUCAAAAAAAAAUAUCAAAAUUAAGAGAAAAGGGGAUUAAAUUGACUUACCAAAUUACUUUGAACCUUAAAACCCCAAAUUUCCCUUUUUCUUUUCUUUUCUUUCUUUCUUUCCUUCCUUCCUUCUCUGUUUCGUUUUGCUCUCUGUUUCUUUCUUUCUCCCUUCUCUGUUUUGUUUUGUUUUGCUCUCUGUUUCUUUUCUUUGUCAUAUAUAUAUAUAUAAUAUAAU
Molecule: long non-coding RNA, 1672 nt
Filed under: Gossypium barbadense (sea-island cotton)
Lineage: Eukaryota; Viridiplantae; Streptophyta; Magnoliopsida; Malvales; Malvaceae
Description: long non-coding RNA (GBAR_LNC005780)
Source: RNAcentral